This 253-nucleotide ribosomal RNA is filed under the name uncultured bacterium. RNAcentral's name for it is "partial 16S ribosomal RNA". It matches the Rfam family "Bacterial small subunit ribosomal RNA", at positions 524 to 776 of the family's 1533-position model. The record is from RNAcentral.
UACGAAGGGUGCUAGCGUUGUUCGGAAUUACUGGGCGUAAAGCGCGCGUAGGCGGCAACUCAAGUCAGGGGUGAAAUCCUGGGGCUUAACCCCAGAAUUGCCUUUGAAACUGUGUUGCUAGAGUGUCGGAGGGGAUAGCGGAAUUGCUAAUGUAGAGGUGAAAUUCGUAGAUAUUAGCAGGAACACCGGUGGCGAAGGCGGCUAUCUGGACGACAACUGACGCUGAGGCGCGAAAGCGUGGGGAUCAAACAGG